RNAcentral lists this long non-coding RNA (226 nucleotides) under Salvia miltiorrhiza (redroot sage). RNAcentral describes it as "long non-coding RNA (SMIL_LNC010986)". The record is from RNAcentral. Lineage: Eukaryota; Viridiplantae; Streptophyta; Magnoliopsida; Lamiales; Lamiaceae.
GUUAGUCUGUGUCUUGUGUUUUCAAGUGACUUGUGUUUUCAAGGAUUUUUCUAGUUUUUUUUUUCUUAAAAAUUGCAUAUACAUAGUUAAUGAAUUUAUUUUUAUAUAAUUAGAUUUUUAUAGUUUAUUUGAAAAUAAACUAAAGUUAUAAAUUUUGAAGUUUGUAUCAUUUAAUAUUGUUAGAACAUGAUUUUUAUUUUAUUUUAUCAUUCCAUCAACUACAAAC